UACGUAUGGUGCAAGCGUUAUCCGGAUUUACUGGGUGUAAAGGGAGCGCAGGCGGCACGGCAAGCCUGAUGUGAAAGCCCGCGGCCCAACCGCGGGACUGCAUUGGGAACUACCGGGCUGGAGUGCCGGAGAGGUAGGCGGAAUUCCUAGUGUAGCGGUGAAAUGCGUAGAUAUAUGGAAGAACACCAGUGGCGAAAGCGGCUCUCUGGUCUGUAACUGACGCUGAGGUUCGAAAGCGUGGGUAGCAAACAGG
This 253-nucleotide ribosomal RNA is filed under the name uncultured bacterium. RNAcentral's name for it is "partial 16S ribosomal RNA". It matches the Rfam family "Bacterial small subunit ribosomal RNA", at positions 524 to 776 of the family's 1533-position model. The record is from RNAcentral.